RNAcentral lists this ribosomal RNA (465 nucleotides) under uncultured bacterium. RNAcentral describes it as "partial 16S ribosomal RNA". It matches the Rfam family "Bacterial small subunit ribosomal RNA", at positions 28 to 507 of the family's 1533-position model. The record is from RNAcentral.
GACGAACGCUGGCGGCGUGCUUAACACAUGCAAGUCGAACGGAAAGGCCCUGCUUGCAGGGUACUCGAGUGGCGAACGGGUGAGUAACACGUGGGUGAUCUGCCCUGCACUUCGGGAUAAGCCUGGGCAACUGGGUCUAAUACCGGAUAGGAGCCAUUUUUAGUGUGAUGGUUGGAAAGUUUUUUCGGUGUAGGAUGAGCUCGCGGCCUAUCAGCUUGUUGGUGGGGUAGUGGCCUACCAAGGCGGCGACGGGUAGCCGGCCUGAGGGGGUGGACGGCCGCCUUGGGACUUAGGUCCGGCCCAGACGCCUACGGGUGGCAGACGUGGGGAAUAUUGCACAAUCGGCGCCAGCCUGGUGCAGCGACGCCGCGUGGGGGAUAGCGGCCUUCGGGUUGUAAAAUCCUUUCGCUAGGGACGAAGCUUUUUGUGACGGUACCUAGAUAAGAAGCACCGGCUAACUACGUG